AUGGUCUGGGCAUCUGUGCAUACUCCUACUCCUAGUCCUCUGUUUUUACUGUUAGCCAUCCUCCUCUUGUCACGAGCAGCUUUGAACCCCAUGUCAUCUGCAACUGCAACACUAGCUGAUUACAGCACCAAUACAACCAGAGAUGCUCUGCUCUGCCUCAAGUCCCGCCUCCACAGCCCCACCCGAGCUUUCGCCACUUGGAACGACGACACCUCACCAGAUUUCUGCAAUUGGCACGGCGUCACAUGCACAACAAAGACAGGGCAACAACCCCUGCUGGUGGCCUUGGAUAUUGAGGAGGAAGGCCUCGCCGGUGAGAUCCCGCCCUGCAUCUCCAACCUCACUUCCCUGGUAAGGAUCCACUUGCCCAACAACCAGAUCUCCGGCCAUAUCCCGCCGGAACUUGGCCGUCUCUCCGGGCUCCGGUAUCUCAACCUCAGCUUCAACAUCCUCGGUGGCACCAUCCCUUUCAGCCUUGGUAACCUUCGCAACCUUUCGUCUCUAGACUUAGGCAACAAUCGGUUUUCCGGCAAGAUUCCGCCGCUGCUCGGGAGCUCCCCGGCGACAGAGUUUGUCAACCUCCCCAACAAUCUUCUAUACGGAGAAAUCCCACAAUCACUAGCAAAUAGUUCCUCCCUCCGUUACAUUUCUCUUGACAACAACAGCAUUCAAGGGGCUAUCCCUUCGUCCCUGUUCAACAACUCAAUCAUCAUGGAGAUACACCUUUCGCACAACAAUCUUUCUGGUGCAAUUCCACCUUUCAUCAUGUUCCCUUCAAAACUCACCUACCUAGAUCUCUCCCAAAACAGUCUUUCCGGACCCGUGCCAUCGUCGGUGGCAAACCUCUCGUCCCUUACCUCACUCGACCUCUCGCACAACCAGUUGCAAGGAUCCAUUCCAGAUUUGGGUAGACUUGCAGGGCUACAAAGACUCGGUCUCUCCUAUAAUAGUCUGUCAGGCAUAGUGCCACCCUCCAUUUACAAUCUGUCUUCAUUGAACGUUCUUAGACUGACAAGCAAUAACCUUGGAGGAACACUGCCUUUUGAUAUGGGUAACACGCUUCCUAACCUCCAAACACUGAGCAUGGCUGAUAAUCAUUUUGAGGGAGACAUCCCUGCCUCACUACAAAAUGCCUCUGGCAUGGUGUAUAUCCAUCUAGCCAACAAUUCUCUAACUGGGGUGGUUCCUUCUUUCAGCUCCAUGCCAAGUUUGAAGUAUGUAAUGUUGUACGCAAAUCACCUAGAGGCUGGAGACUGGACAUUCUUCUCCUCUUUGGCGAAUUGUACACAGCUGCUGAAACUUAAUGUAGGUGACAACAACUUGCGCGGGGAUUUACCAGCAAAUUCCAUAGCAAAUCUUCCCAAGAGCUUGACUGCUCUGACUCUCCGGUCAAACGACAUCUCUGGCACCAUCCCCUUGGAGAUUGGAAACCUCUCAAGCCUUUCCAUGCUCUAUCUUAAUACUAAUCUUUUGAUGGGGUCUAUACCUUCUACCAUUGGUCAGCUACGCAACUUGGUUGAGCUUAGCCUGUCACAGAACAAAUUUUCUGGAGAUAUUCCACCUUCCAUUGGCAACUUAAAUAAACUAGAACAACUUUAUUUGCAAGAAAAUCAAUUGAGUGGAAGCAUCCCUGAAAGUUUAGGAAGCUGCCAGAAGUUGUUGGCACUAAACCUUUCCUGUAAUGCCCUUGGUGGAAGCAUGAGCGGGCAUAUGUUGAGCAGGUUGAGUCAACUGAGUUUGUUACUAGAUUUAUCCCACAACCAACUCACAAUGUUCAUACCACUAGAUAUGGGUAGCUUGGUAAACCUUGGUUCCUUGAACAUCUCUCACAACAAUCUCAUGGGCAGAAUCCCAUCCACACUCGGUGCAUGUGUCCGGUUGGAAGCGCUUCGUGUAGAAGGGAACCUCCUGCAAGGAAGCAUUCCGCAAUCACUAGCAAGCCUCAAAGGCAUGCAAGUGUUAGAUUUCUCCCACAACAACCUAUCUGGUACAAUUCCGGAGUUCCUCGAGACCUUCACCUCGUUGCAGUAUUUGAAUAUGUCCUUCAACAACUUGGAAGGACCAGUUCCCACCAGUGGAGUGUUUGCUAACACAGGUGGUAUUUUUGUCCAAGGAAAUCCACACCUUUGUGCCAAUGUUGCAAUACAAGAGCUGCCAAGUUGCUUUUCUUCAGCAUCCACAAAAAAUCACAAGUUCGUUCUUCCUAUGUCGAUAGCUCUGUCAACUCUCGUUGCACUUGCUUUGAUGUUGGGGGUGUUCAAUUUUCUGUUGAGGAGGAGAUACAAACCCAGUGAGAAAAUUGGACAUUCAUACAUGGAAUUGAAAAGGAUAACAUAUGGCGACAUAAACAAAGCAACAGACAGUUUUUCUCUAGCCAACGUAGUCGGCUCCGGGCAAUUUGGGACUGUCUACAAAGGUUGCUUCAACGCGAAAGAUGGUACGGUUGCGGUUAAAGUCUUCAAGCUCAAUCAGGAUGGCGCAUUGCAUAGCUUCAUUGCUGAGUGCAAAGCACUGCAACACAUCCGCCACCGGAAUCUCGUGAAGGUUAUAACCGCAUGCUCAACUUAUGACUCAGUGGGAAAUGAGUUCAGGGCUCUAGUCUUUGAGUAUAUGGCCAAUGGAAGCCUUGAAGACCGACUUCAUAACCACCAGUGUGGUGGUUUGAGUUUGGGCGCAAUGAUAUGCAUAUCAGUUGACAUUGCUUGUGCUCUUGAAUACCUACAUAACCAGUGCAUCCCACCGGUUGUUCACUGCGAUCUGAAACCAAGCAACAUACUUUUUGACAAUGACCAUACUGCACAUGUCUGCGACUUUGGUCUAGGAAAGCUAAUUCAUGGAUGUUCAUUUGGAGGGCAGAGCGGCACAACAAGCAUAAUUGGGCCAAGGGGAUCUAUUGGGUACAUACCUCCUGAGUAUGGAAUGGGCAGUGAAAUCUCAACCGAGGGCGACGUCUACAGCUAUGGCAUUCUUCUUUUAGAAAUGCUAACACGGAAACGACCUACUAAUGAAGAGUUCAGUGAUGGCUUGACGCUCCGCAAGUAUGUAGAAGCAUCACUUUCACGAACCGAAGACAUUCUUCAACCCAGCCUUACUUGGGAGACGGGAGAUCAGCGUGUUGAUGAUAUCCCAAAGAUGAAAGAAUACAAGACACUUGCACUUAGUUAUGCUCUCCGGCUCCUGAAGCUUGGUUUGUUAUGCUCCACAGAAUCACCAAAAGAUCGUCCAGCGAUGCAUGAUGUCUACAGUGAAGUCAUAGAAGUAAAAGAGGCAUUCUUCUCUAUGGACAACAAAAGCAAAGACCCUAAAUAA
Molecule: ribosomal RNA, 3309 nt
Filed under: Triticum aestivum (bread wheat)
Lineage: Eukaryota; Viridiplantae; Streptophyta; Magnoliopsida; Poales; Poaceae
Description: partial small subunit ribosomal RNA
Source: RNAcentral